Molecule: long non-coding RNA, 658 nt
Organism: Maniola jurtina (meadow brown)
Lineage: Eukaryota; Metazoa; Arthropoda; Insecta; Lepidoptera; Nymphalidae
Exons: 4
Source: RefSeq, a predicted model, not a curated record
ACCAUUUAUUACAGUAUAAAUACAUAGGUACGGGUACCUUAUAUUAAAAUCGAAUGUUUUAAGGUUAAAUUAUUUAAAGCUCCAUUGAAAUAUUAUAUUAGGUACUUGUGUGUUCGUAAUUUGGCUCCGAUGUAUGAGGAGUUUGAGACUCGAUUCAAAACAGUAUUGUAAUCAGUAAAAAUGCGGUGUUGUGUACCUUUCUGCAAAAACACUGGACAAUGUAUCCACAUUCGGGAAAGAGAUCAGUUUUCAUGGUUCCCCGAUGAAGAGAAUCGUCGUGUUGCUUGGCUCAGAGCCCUCGGCAAACAAGACAGUCACCUACCAGACUCUGCUGUGGUCUGCUCGCAACAUUUCUAGAUGAUAACAUUUAUGAAACAGAAAACGGUGUAAGGCAAAUUAGUACUGGUGCUAUUCCUUCAACAGUGCAGGUUUGCAUGAUAUGCCUAGACACUGACAGCAAGCUGGUUCUAAUGAGUAAACAAAAAAUUGGAUGAAGCAUAUGAAAAGUUAACUGGACUUCCUCCGUUCCUCUGCCCGCGAGACUUGCGACAAGUAACGAGAUAAAAGAGCCAUCAACUGAAGAAGCUGGGGCAAGCGUCGGUAGCCGAUACGAAAAAACAGAUUGUUUUGUAAAAUUUUGUGAUGUUUCCAUUAAAAA